GCCUGGGUGGCUCAGUCGGUUGAGCAUCUGGUUUCGGCUCAGGUCAUGAUCUCACGGUUCGUGGGUUCGAGCCCCGCGUCGGGCU
RNAcentral lists this transfer RNA (85 nucleotides) under Felis catus (domestic cat). It matches the Rfam family "tRNA". Rfam says of the family: Transfer RNA (tRNA) molecules are approximately 80 nucleotides in length. Their secondary structure includes four short double-helical elements and three loops (D, anti-codon, and T loops). The record is from Rfam by way of RNAcentral. Lineage: Eukaryota; Metazoa; Chordata; Mammalia; Carnivora; Felidae.